UACGUAGGGUGCAAGCGUUAUCCGGAUUCACUGGGUUUAAAGGGUGCGUAGGCGGGUUGGUAAGUCCGUGGUGAAAUCCCCAAGCUUAACUUGGGAACUGCCGUGGAUACUAUCAAUCUUGAAUAUCGUGGAGGUAAGCGGAAUAUGCCAUGUAGCGGUGAAAUGCUUAGAUAUGACAUAGAACACCAAUUGCGUAGGCAGCUUACUACACGAUCAUUGACGCUGAGGCACGAAAGCGUGGGGAGCAAACAGG
Molecule: ribosomal RNA, 253 nt
Filed under: uncultured bacterium
Lineage: Bacteria
Description: partial 16S ribosomal RNA
Rfam family: Bacterial small subunit ribosomal RNA
Source: RNAcentral